Molecule: non-coding RNA, 78 nt
Organism: Mycena capillaripes
Lineage: Eukaryota; Fungi; Basidiomycota; Agaricomycetes; Agaricales; Mycenaceae
Source: the annotation of a GenBank genome assembly
GCAGACAUGGUGUAGUGGUAACAUUGCCCCUUCAACUCUGUUUUCGGGCCGUCCAGGGUUCGAGUCCCUGUGUCUGAC